UCCUACGGGGGGCAGCAGUGGGGAAUAUUGCACAAUGGGGGAAACCCUGAUGCAGCGACGCCGCGUGAGUGAAGAAGUAUUUCGGUAUGUAAAGCUCUAUCAGCAGGAACGAGACAAGACGGUACCUGACUAAGAAGCCCCGGCUAACUACGUGCCAGCAGCCGCGGUAAUACGUAGGGGGCAAGCGUUAUCCGGAUUUACUGGGUGUAAAGGGAGCGUAGACGGCGAUGCAAGUCUGAAGUGAAAGGCGGGGGCCCAACCACCGGACUGCUUUGGAAACUG
RNAcentral lists this ribosomal RNA (282 nucleotides) under uncultured bacterium. RNAcentral describes it as "partial 16S ribosomal RNA". It matches the Rfam family "Bacterial small subunit ribosomal RNA", at positions 337 to 635 of the family's 1533-position model. The record is from RNAcentral.